CCUACGGGAGGCUGCAGUGAGGAAUAUUGGUCAAUGGUCGGAAGACUGAACCAGCCAAGCCGCGUGAGGGAGGAAGGUCCAGCGUAUCGUAAACCUCUUUUGUCAGGGAACAAAGGCGGGGACGUGUCCCCGGCUGAGUGUACCCCAAGAAAAAGCAUUGGGUAACUCCGUGCCAGCCGCCGCGGUAAUACGGAGGAUUCGAGCGUUAUCCGGAUUUAUUGGGGUUAAAGGGUGCGCAGGCGGGCUGUUAAGUCAGCGGUAAAAACUCGGGGCUCAACCCCGGCCCGCCGUUGAAACUGGGAGUCUCGAGUGGGCGAGAAGUAGGCGGAAUGCGCGGUGUAGCGGUGAAAUGCAUAGAUAUCGCGCAGAACCCCGAUUGCGAAGGCAGCAUGCCGGCGCCCAACUGACGCUGAGGCACGAAAGCGUGGGGAUCGAACAGGAUUAGAUACCCCGGUAGUC
Molecule: ribosomal RNA, 459 nt
Filed under: uncultured bacterium
Lineage: Bacteria
Description: partial 16S ribosomal RNA
Rfam family: Bacterial small subunit ribosomal RNA
Source: RNAcentral